RNAcentral lists this small RNA (28 nucleotides) under Bombyx mori (domestic silkworm). Its description in RNAcentral is "ovarian small RNA-24342". The record is from RNAcentral. Lineage: Eukaryota; Metazoa; Arthropoda; Insecta; Lepidoptera; Bombycidae.
UAUUUUAUGCGACGUGCUUGCGUGCCUG